RNAcentral lists this ribosomal RNA (506 nucleotides) under uncultured bacterium. Its description in RNAcentral is "partial 16S ribosomal RNA". It matches the Rfam family "Bacterial small subunit ribosomal RNA", at positions 29 to 523 of the family's 1533-position model. The record is from RNAcentral.
AGUGAACACUGGCGGUAGGCCUAACACAUGCAAGUCGAACGGCAGCACAGGAGAGCUUGCUCUCUGGGUGGCGAGUGGCGGACGGGUGAGGAAUACAUCGGAAUCUACUCUGUCGUGGGGGAUAACGUAGGGAAACUUACGCUAAUACCGCAUACGACCUACGGGUGAAAGCAGGGGACCUUCGGGCCUUGCGCGAUUGAAUGAGCCGAUGUCGGAUUAGCUAGUUGGCGGGGUAAAGGCCCACCAAGGCGACGAUCCGUAGCUAGUCUGAGAGGGUGAUCAGCCACACUGGAACUGAGACACGGUCCAGACUCCUACGGGAGACAGCAGUGGGGAAUAUUGGACAAUGGGCGCAAGCCUGAUCCAGCCAUACCGCGUGGGUGAAGAAGGCGUUCGGGUUGUAAAGCCCUUUUGUUGGGAAAGAAAUCCAGCUGGCUAAUACCCGGUUGGGAUGACGGUACCCAAAGAAUAAGCACCGGCUAACUUCGUGCCAGCCGCCGCCGUAA